UACGUAGGUGGCAAGCGUUGUCCGGAUUUACUGGGCGUAAAGAGCGCGCAGGCGGUCGGAUAAGUCGAAUGUGAAAGCCCCCGGCUCAACUGGGGAGGGUCAUUCGAUACUGUUCGACUCGAAGGCAGGAGAGGGAAGUGGAAUUUACGGUGUAGCGGUGAAAUGCGUAGAUAUCGUAAGGAAGACCAGUGGCGAAGGCGGGUCUCUGGACAGUUCCUGACGCUGAGGCACGAAGGCCAGGGGAGCAAACGGG
This 253-nucleotide ribosomal RNA is filed under the name uncultured bacterium. RNAcentral's name for it is "partial 16S ribosomal RNA". It matches the Rfam family "Bacterial small subunit ribosomal RNA", at positions 524 to 776 of the family's 1533-position model. The record is from RNAcentral.